Molecule: ribosomal RNA, 325 nt
Filed under: uncultured eukaryote
Lineage: Eukaryota
Description: partial 18S ribosomal RNA
Rfam family: Eukaryotic small subunit ribosomal RNA
Source: RNAcentral
CCCUUAGAUGUCCUGGGCCGCACGCGCGCUACACUGAUGCAUUCAACGAGUAUUUCCUUGGCCGAGAGGCCUGGGCAAUCUUUUAAACCUGCAUCGUGAUAGGGAUAGAUUAUUGCAAUUAUUAAUCUUGAACGAGGAAUUCCUAGUAAACGCAAAUCAACAAUUUGCAUUGAUUACGUCCCUGCCCUUUGUACACACCGCCCGUCGCACCUACCGAUUGAAUGGUCCGGUGAAAUCUCGGGAUUGUGGCCAGUUCACUUUAUUGGGAGUUGGCCGCGAGAACUUGCUUAAACCUUAUCAUUUAGAGGAAGGUGAAGUCGUAACA